Molecule: unclassified non-coding RNA, 25 nt
Filed under: Mus musculus (house mouse)
Lineage: Eukaryota; Metazoa; Chordata; Mammalia; Rodentia; Muridae
Description: piRNA piR-mmu-68241616
Source: RNAcentral
UUCCGCCCACACGGAAACCUGAGGA